UGCCCGCGACGUANCGAGAAGUCCACUGAACCUUAUCAUUUAGAGGAAGGAGAAGUCGUAACAAGGUUUCCGUAGGUGAACCUGCGGAAGGAUCAUU
RNAcentral lists this ribosomal RNA (97 nucleotides) under Bryonia verrucosa. Its description in RNAcentral is "partial 18S ribosomal RNA". It matches the Rfam family "Eukaryotic small subunit ribosomal RNA", at positions 1734 to 1830 of the family's 1831-position model. Lineage: Eukaryota; Viridiplantae; Streptophyta; Magnoliopsida; Cucurbitales; Cucurbitaceae. The record is from RNAcentral.